RNAcentral lists this long non-coding RNA (959 nucleotides) under Calidris pugnax (ruff). RNAcentral's name for it is "lncRNA (ENSCPUG00000001202.1)". Lineage: Eukaryota; Metazoa; Chordata; Aves; Charadriiformes; Scolopacidae. The record is from RNAcentral.
AGCAGUGAGUGUAAAUUUCCUAUCUAUCUGAAGUGGAAUUAUUUGCUGGAUAAAGGCACUAAAGUGUUUUGCAGUCUACACAGUAGAUCCUGGGCAGAGACUCUCACACCUUUGUAUGCUGAUAAGGAGAAUAUUAUUACCCUGCUAGUGGUCUGGCCAGAUAAGAUGUUUUGGGCGGGCAGUCUGCACUUUUUUCAAGCUCUCAUUAUGCUGCACCAGUAUCUCCAGAUGCUGUUCCCAGGGAACUAAGCUUCUUUCUCUUUAAAACUGCAAAGAGCAAUGGAGAGUUUAGGCAAAGACCACGCUUAUUCGGACUCUUCCCUGCCACCCUCUGCAGCCCGUGAGGAGUAUGCUGUGCCAGAUGUCAUCAUCACCCGCCGCUUGAGAGACCGGGAGCAGCUCCGUAAAAGAAAAGCAGAAGCCCAGGAAAAAGACUCAAUUCAAUGGGUUCUGAGGGAGCAGACAAAACGGCAAAGGAGAGGCAGAGGAACCAGGAGAGGACGGGGCCGCCAGCCAGUGGUGGAGAUCAACCCGGAGCCAGAACCAGAGCUGGACUCCCAGCCCAAGCCCCAGGAGGAGGCUGAGCCAGUGCCCUCCGAGUCAGCAGCCCCAUCUGAGCCGGCACAUCAAGAAGAGCUGCCCGUGCUGAGCUUCCAGGAUAUGGUCAGUGGGAUGCAGCCAGGAGUGGUGGAGAGGGAGCUGGCAGCCAGGAGCCAGGAUCCUGCGGGUGAAGAGGAGGUCCUGAAACCAGCAGAAGCAGAAAUACCAGAAGCUUGGAAUACUCCUCUGGAAAAUGAGCACCAGGAUAAUGAAUGCAGCACACACCUUCUAUUUUAAUUUUCUGUUUGGGUUUUUUAAAAAAUAUUUUUACUCCUGCCUGACAAACUCCAGUAAGUGUUGCAGAGGGAUUUUGACCAGCUCCUUCCCUGUGACUAAUAAAGCCCAAACUCUCCCGAUCA